GGGUUGUGAGGUUAAGCGACUAAGCGUACACGGUGGAUGCCCUGGCAGUCAGAGGCGAUGAAGGACGUGCUAAUCUGCGAUAAGCGUCGGUAAGGUGAUAUGAACCGUUAUAACCGGCGAUUUCCGAAUGGGGAAACCCAGUGUGUUUCGACACACUAUCAUUAACUGAAUCCAUAGGUUAAUGAGGCGAACCGGGGGAACUGAAACAUCUAAGUACCCCGAGGAAAAGAAAUCAACCGAGAUUCCCCCAGUAGCGGCGAGCGAACGGGGAGCAGCCCAGAGCCUGAAUCAGUGUGUGUGUUAGUGGAAGCGUCUGGAAAGGCGCGCGAUACAGGGUGACAGCCCCGUACACAAAAAUGCACAUGCUGUGAGCUCGAUGAGUAGGGCGGGACACGUGGUAUCCUGUCUGAAUAUGGGGGGACCAUCCUCCAAGGCUAAAUACUCCUGACUGACCGAUAGUGAACCAGUACCGUGAGGGAAAGGCGAAAAGAACCCCGGCGAGGGGAGUGAAAAAGAACCUGAAACCGUGUACGUACAAGCAGUGGGAGCAYGCUUAGGCGUGUGACUGCGUACCUUUUGUAUAAUGGGUCAGCGACUUAUAUUCUGUAGCAAGGUUAACCGAAUAGGGGAGCCGAAGGGAAACCGAGUCUUAACUGGGCGUUAAGUUGCAGGGUAUAGACCCGAAACCCGGUGAUCUAGCCAUGGGCAGGUUGAAGGUUGGGUAACACUAACUGGAGGACCGAACCGACUAAUGUUGAAAAAUUAGCGGAUGACUUGUGGCUGGGGGUGAAAGGCCAAUCAAACCGGGAGAUAGCUGGUUCUCCCCGAAAGCUAUUUAGGUAGCGCCUCGUGAAYUCAUCUCCGGGGGUAGAGCACUGUUUCGGCAAGGGGGUCAUCCCGACUUACCAACCCGAUGCAAACUGCGAAUACCGGAGAAUGUUAUCACGGGAGACACACGGCGGGUGCUAACGUCCGUCGUGAAGAGGGAAACAACCCAGACCGCCAGCUAAGGUCCCAAAGUCAUGGUUAAGUGGGAAACGAUGUGGGAAGGCCCAGACAGCCAGGAUGUUGGCUUAGAAGCAGCCAUCAUUUAAAGAAAGCGUAAUAGCUCACUGGUCGAGUCGGCCUGCGCGGAAGAUGUAACGGGGCUAAACCAUGCACCGAAGCUGCGGCAGCGACGCUUAUGCGUUGUUGGGUAGGGGAGCGUUCUGUAAGCCUGCGAAGGUGUGCUGUGAGGCAUGCUGGAGGUAUCAGAAGUGCGAAUGCUGACAUAAGUAACGAUAAAGCGGGUGAAAAGCCCGCUCGCCGGAAGACCAAGGGUUCCUGUCCAACGUUAAUCGGGGCAGGGUGAGUCGACCCCUAAGGCGAGGCCGAAAGGCGUAGUCGAUGGGAAACAGGUUAAUAUUCCUGUACUUGGUGUUACUGCGAAGGGGGGACGGAGAAGGCUAUGUUGGCCGGGCGACGGUUGUCCCGGUUUAAGCGUGUAGGCUGGUUUUCCAGGCAAAUCCGGAAAAUCAAGGCUGAGGCGUGAUGACGAGGCACUACGGUGCUGAAGCAACAAAUGCCCUGCUUCCAGGAAAAGCCUCUAAGCAUCAGGUAACAUCAAAUCGUACCCCAAACCGACACAGGUGGUCAGGUAGAGAAUACCAAGGCGCUUGAGAGAACUCGGGUGAAGGAACUAGGCAAAAUGGUGCCGUAACUUCGGGAGAAGGCACGCUGAUAUGUAGGUGARGUCCCUCGCGGAUGGAGCUGAAAUCAGUCGAAGAUACCAGCUGGCUGCAACUGUUUAUUAAAAACACAGCACUGUGCAAACACGAAAGUGGACGUAUACGGUGUGACGCCUGCCCGGUGCCGGAAGGUUAAUUGAUGGGGUUAGCCGCAAGGCGAAGCUCUUGAUCGAAGCCCCGGUAAACGGCGGCCGUAACUAUAACGGUCCUAAGGUAGCGAAAUUCCUUGUCGGGUAAGUUCCGACCUGCACGAAUGGCGUAAUGAUGGCCAGGCUGUCUCCACCCGAGACUCAGUGAAAUUGAACUCGCUGUGAAGAUGCAGUGUACCCGCGGCAAGACGGAAAGACCCCGUGAACCUUUACUAUAGCUUGACACUGAACAUUGAGCCUUGAUGUGUAGGAUAGGUGGGAGGCUUWGAAGUGUGGACGCCAGUCUGCAUGGAGCCGACCUUGAAAUACCACCCUUUAAUGUUUGAUGUUCUAACGUUGACCCGUAAUCCGGGUUGCGGACAGUGUCUGGUGGGUAGUUUGACUGGGGCGGUCUCCUCCUAAAGAGUAACGGAGGAGCACGAAGGUUGGCUAAUCCUGGUCGGACAUCAGGAGGUUAGUGCAAUGGCAUAAGCCAGCUUGACUGCGAGCGUGACGGCGCGAGCAGGUGCGAAAGCAGGUCAUAGUGAUCCGGUGGUUCUGAAUGGAAGGGCCAUCGCUCAACGGAUAAAAGGUACUCCGGGGAUAACAGGCUGAUACCGCCCAAGAGUUCAUAUCGACGGCGGUGUUUGGCACCUCGAUGUCGGCUCAUCACAUCCUGGGGCUGAAGUAGGUCCCAAGGGUAUGGCUGUUCGCCAUUUAAAGUGGUACGCGAGCUGGGUUUAGAACGUCGUGAGACAGUUCGGUCCCUAUCUGCCGUGGGCGCUGGAGAACUGAGGGGGGCUGCUCCUAGUACGAGAGGACCGGAGUGGACGCAUCACUGGUGUUCGGGUUGUCAUGCCAAUGGCACUGCCCGGUAGCUAAAUGCGGAAGAGAUAAGUGCUGAAAGCAUCUAAGCACGAAACUUGCCCCGAGAUGAGUUCUCCCUGAC
Molecule: ribosomal RNA, 2804 nt
Filed under: Escherichia coli
Lineage: Bacteria; Pseudomonadati; Pseudomonadota; Gammaproteobacteria; Enterobacterales; Enterobacteriaceae
Description: partial 23S ribosomal RNA
Rfam family: Bacterial large subunit ribosomal RNA
Source: RNAcentral